GGGCUCAGUUCUAAAAGUACGCGGUUGUCGUUUAGUUGGAUAUUACCAUGAAAUUCAUAAUUAAUUCGAUUAUUGUCACAUUGUGCUUACUAAGGCAAAGGAUUUUUGGAUAUGAUGAAGAGAGAUGUGAUGAUGAUCUCAACUCCUCUGAAAAUGGUUGUGCCGAUCAGCCCGAAGUCACGUAUUCAAAUUUUUAUAAUAGUUGCAUCAAAGCCCAAUUUUGCGAAGCCGAUAGAAACCAUAACUCAAAAAACAGAUUUAGGACUUUUGCUGAAUGCGAUAUGGCUUGCCUUGGUCAUCUGAAAAAAUAUUCACUUGAUGCACCGCAAACUGAGGAACAGUAUGUGGCAGCAGUUGAAAAAUUUAGAACUGCAUUUUAUCCGGGAUAAAACUAUGAGCAAACAUUACUAUAUAAUUUAAAUUGGAGCGCAGCCGACUUAAGAAGCCCUGAAGAAUUGUGUUAAAUUUCUCUAAGUGUUAGAAUGGCAAGUAAAUUUGUUUUUGAGUUGCUCAUCAAUGAAAGUUA
This is a long non-coding RNA of Drosophila gunungcola (fruit fly), 526 nucleotides long. RefSeq lists it as uncharacterized. The transcript is spliced from 3 exons. The record is from RefSeq and is a predicted model, not a curated record. NCBI's taxonomy places the organism in Eukaryota, Metazoa, Arthropoda, Insecta, Diptera, Drosophilidae.